GAUGAACGCUGGCGGCGUGCUUAACACAUGCAAGUCGAGCGAGUGAGUUCUUCGGAACGAUCUAGCGGCGGACGGGUGAGUAACACGUGGGCAACCUGCCUCAUAGAGGGGAACAGCCUCCCGAAAGGGAGAUUAAUACCGCAUAACAUUAUCGAGUGGCAUCACAUGAUAAUCAAAGGAGUAAUCCGCUAUGAGAUGGGCCCGCGGCGCAUUAGCUAGUUGGUGAGGUAAAGGCUCACCAAGGCGACGAUGCGUAGCCGACCUGAGAGGGUGAUCGGCCACAUUGGGACUGAGACACGGCCAGGCUCCUACGGGAGGCAGCAGUGGGGAAUAUUGCACAAUGGGGGAAACCCUGAUGCAGCAACGCCGCGUGAGUGAUGAAGGUCUUCGGAUUGUAAAGCUCUGUCUUUGGGGACGAUAAUGACGGUACCCAAGGAGGAAGCCACGGCUAACUACGUGCCAGCCGCCGCGGUAA
RNAcentral lists this ribosomal RNA (475 nucleotides) under uncultured bacterium. RNAcentral describes it as "partial 16S ribosomal RNA". It matches the Rfam family "Bacterial small subunit ribosomal RNA", at positions 28 to 523 of the family's 1533-position model. The record is from RNAcentral.